UAUUAUGAGAGUUUGAUCCUGGCUCAGGACGAACGCUGGCGGCGUGUUUAAGGCAUGCAAGUCGAACGAGUACCUUCGGGUACAAGUGGCAGACGGGAGAGUAACACAUUGGUAACCUACCCCGAAGUUUGGUAUAACUCCGCGAAAGCGGAGCUAAUCCCAAAUGUGAUCAGUAUAUACUUUAUACUGUUUAAAGAUUUAUCGCUUCGGGAGGGGCCUAUG
Molecule: ribosomal RNA, 222 nt
Filed under: Patescibacteria group bacterium
Lineage: Bacteria
Description: partial 16S ribosomal RNA
Rfam family: Bacterial small subunit ribosomal RNA
Source: RNAcentral